CCUGUCAAAGGCAAUCGAAAGUUUCGAUUGUCGGGGGAAAAGAAAGAGAAAAAGACGGUCAAGUUUAAUUGUAAAACAUGCAAACAAACGGUUGUUCCAAAAGAAAAGAAAAAUGGCGGGUGUUGGGUUAGAAAACGUGUGUCAAGUCACAGUUAACCCUGACACGCGAAUCUGAUGAUUACAGGCGAAUAGACGAAAGUGUAUUCGCCAAAGAAAGAGCUGGACACUGCAAGAUGGACACGUCCUUGGAAGAGGAAAAUUGGACUGAUCAGUUGAGACAGUUGCAAAAACGAUUCAGACACGGUAGAAAAGUGGAGGUCGAAAACGAAAAUUGCCCUCGUUUCUGCAUUGCGCGUUGCAGUGGAUACGUGAAAAACGAGAACUUUCAUUUCCAGAUGGAGUGGGAAGAAUGAAAAACUUUUGACUGGUGGAGUGGAACAGCAACCUUGGAAACGUGGUCGAAAAAGGUCUCUCCAACCUAUUUUUACCGUCCGUCUUAAUACCUCGUUGAGAAAUCCCAGGUAGAUUUCACUAGCCCCUCCUUUCUCGUGAUUUAUUUACCGGGGGGUCUCGGGGAACGAUGAGGACCCCAACUUGGCAAACUUUUCGUGCCAGACAUUAAAUUCAUGUCGAUGAGGCAACGUGAUGGAGAAAACAAAACAAUAUACCUCGUCACACGCAGCCAAACACAACAUGAAUGUUGAAAGGGAAGGCGGAGCUUGGCCGUUGGAGAGAAAAUUCCCGGACGUGCAACGGAAUAUCUCCAGCAGCGCAAGAGGUUUUUUUUUUUUUGUCCAUCAAAAUCCCAAUACAUCAUCAGCGCCGGUGACACGCCAUCAUUUCAAGCCUUUACCAUGUUGGAUGCUUUCUACCGUGCGGAACAGGAGGGGGAGCGAAAAACUUUUUUACGACCGACUUGUUUAGAGAAACCCGCCAGUGAGUUGAUGGACGUAACGGCGGGAAACGGGCUAGUGUGUGUGUGACACACUCACACGCGCCCAGAGUGGGCCAUAAACAUGAGUGAAAACUUCAUCCGUGUAACGCGUUCGUUGCCUAAUAAGAUUGCGUUCACUCAGCUAGAAUUGCUCGCUGACUGGCCGACUGAUUUGUCCGCGUAUAACGGAUCGCAAAACAUUUUCCGCCAUUCUGAACUCCCGCGUACCGUCUGCGAGUAAGAUUGUACCCCGUGCACAAACGGUGGGGGAGGAGCGAAACGGAACAAACGUGCGCCACUUACGAAGCGGAUUGGGAAUGAAGGCAGCUAUAGGCCAAUUAAGCCAAUUCAAGCCAGUCUUGAGAGAUGAAGGAGUAGUGGAACAAUAGCGGAAUAGCUAAGGCUGUGUGUGUGUGUGUAUAUACUGAGAGGCUGAAAGACGGGGGCCCAGCUUGGUGUUUAGCGAUUCCACCAACGUUCCGUCAACAUCUACGGCCGACUUUCGUGAACAUUCUGAUAGGCAAAGGAGGGAGCGAAGAAAUGCGGAGCAGAGAAAAACAGCUGGAUGCUGUCCACCAGCUCCUUAUUAUUAUUUACCAUUUAGAACGUGAAGUGCAACGCUGGCCGGUUGGAGGCUUGGAGGUCCACAUGAAUAGUUGCCGGCAAAGUCGGGCGUAGCUGGAGGAACGUUCAAAACUGCCAGGAGAGAAUCUGGUCCCAAGCGGGUGACGCGAGCGCUCCAUCCGUAUUUCGUAGCGCCUUUUAACAAGGAGGAAAUAUAUCGUCGUAAGCAGACUCACCAGACGACGCUAGUGCUGCCACCUCCUUCGAUCCUUCAUGCGUCCGCGACUCCUCGAGCGCCGAGCCGGCAAUCCUCUCGGUUUUAUGGUACCAAAAAAUGUACGGUGGGGUCUCAAUUAAUCCUGAAAUGACGCAAUGCAACGCGACUCCGCUACCGGACAUUACGUAAAUAUCCGGAGCUCCUCUGAUCUCGACCUGCGGAACUGUUUGGGUGAAGCGCGAAAAAUGAAGAAAAUUUACAUAAUUCCAUCUACCGCGUAUCUAUGAUCAAUUGACAGUUAAUCUGCCUCUCAAUGUCCUACCGACGAUGUUCAGUUGAUAGACGAGGCUUAGUUUGGGUUCGCUGGAUACUUGGCAUUCAUAUUUGCCAGCAUCGGAUCCGCGAACGGCUCUCAAAUGCAACGUCCAAAUGUCUGAAUUGGCCGGAUGGUGUACUUGGAACCGGCCGUCUCCUAUGAACGUGUCCGUAUCGACCGUCAGCAAAUGGCCGUCUCUCUUCCGCACCCAUGAGACCUAAUAGAAACCCGGGAAAAAACAUGAGACACGAGCUGCAAGGGCUAAUCAAUUAUAAACGCCGACUAAGAGUGCACGUCGUCUUGGCGUGAAAUACGAGUCUAUUGGAUAAGUACACGAACCGAUUUGUUGGCAACAUCCUGGACACGGCAGACAAGAUGAGCGUGAGCGCCGUAUUGAGUGGUCACGUUGAGUGGCAAGGACACGUCGAACGAAGGCAUCGUCGCCAGCUGCUUGUUCUCGUGCGAAUGGUGGACAGCCAUGCUGCCGGAUUCUUUAGGACUCCAUAAAUCCGAAACAACGGCCACCGCUGAAACUGACGACGGGUUCCAAACAUACGCUGAUAAAAGAAAAGGGAGCUGACUGUGCUGAGAGGGCUUAUGCUAAUCCGUCUGGAAAUGUUGGUAUCCACUUGGUCCCUUUGCUGCAUCGUUUUAUUUACAGCAUGGCAACAGUAAAAGAAGAAGCAGUGAAAUGGGAAGAUCAAUUUAUUCAUGGGCGUCUUAAACCCGAACGUUCGUCUACUCGACGUUUCUACCUAUUCGACCACUGCCAGUUGCGGACGUGUAUACGAGAUUCGGAUAUCAAGUGUCUGUGUGCUGAGCAGACAUUCGUGUGUGUGUGCGUACGUUUGAAUGUCUAAAAUGGCAACAUGCGCAACGGACGGAUGUGACGUUCCCUUGAUGACUCACACAAAGAAAAAGGUAUACGAUUUCAAUACUCUAAUUCGGUAACGGAAGCACAACGGGCGUAUGUAAAUGGCACCGUGGAAUCUAUGGCUUUACAAUAAUGAGACCCUUCCCAUCCCUUAGGGGGGGGGGGGUAUGUAUACAAGUUAGUGACAUAUUAGAAGCGAAAGAGUUUCAAUUUUCAACAAAUACUUGGAUUCCUUGAAUCUCUGCUAUUUCCUAAUCAAAAGCAUUCCUCUUUUCAAGCAGUUCAUUCUUCCGUAGCCUUUAAGGGUUGCCUGAAGUGAAUGUCUUGAAAAGUUUCAAAUUAAAAAUGGGGAAAGAAUAAGAAGAAAAAAAAAUUAGUUCUCAGUUUUCACGUAUCGUACACGUUGGUCUUGGAAAUUGUAUACGUGCGCGUCUUCAUUAUUGUGUAUGCCCCCCUUUUGUUAGUCCUACUUAUGGAACAACAAACGAAAUGGAAAAAAAUGGCAUUGCGAAACUCUAGAAACGAGGAGAAGAAGGUCGAAAGGUAAACUUUGCUGCUAGAACGUCGAGAAAGUGACUGAGCUAAUCGACUGUAAAGUGACAUCCGUAUAAUAGUUUGUAAGUAGCAUGCAAUGAACGACAUUGACGUACGAGUGGCUCUUACCUAAAAAGAAAGAAAGGAACCAAAGGUUAAAUGUUUAAUUGUAAUGUUUUCUUAAUUACUAAUCCCUUUUUUUAUUGUAUAAAAAAAUUGUAGGGCUUGGGGUUUUUUAAAAGUCAAGAGACGACAACGGACCAGUCUAAUUAAUUUGGGGUGCGCAUCGCAUUUCUCAAAAGUCAUUAGAUGCUAAACCGACCGUGCGUUUUGACUUGGCCAUCAUUUUUCUCCGUUUCUUUUACGUAAUGACUCGCAGUCGUUGCAAUUGUUAGCCUGCCCAGUUUAGAGAUGACUUUGACGACAACCCCGUGCUUCUAAUUAUCAACUCGGUGAGCAGUUUCUUCCUAACCAUCAACUACCCCGCAGAGCUUCGUUUACCAUUAAACGACGCGUAAUCACUAGAUAGAUAACGAGUCCUUUGAGAUGCUUCUUCCUUCCCCCUCCCCCCUUUUCUAAUCGUAUGUUCGGAUGGCGGUCAGGCGGAAGUAGAAAGAAGAUUUUUGAUGGGUGUCUCCCAUUUAUAUUUUUUUCCCCUACAGAUGUCGUGUACGCAUUCGAGCGCGUCUGGCCGCGAUGGAUAGUCGAACGUAACAGAAACUGCGCCGAGAUAAAAAAUAAUAAUACUAAUAAUAAAAUCAUAAAAAAAAAAAAUGAUGAAACUUGAAGUGACGUGCCAAUGUCACCGUGGGUUGGCAAACUUGCAGUCAGGUUAAAGAACGGGACUCGCUCGUUAAGCCAAGAGCUCAACAGAGCGCACAAAAGAAAUGAGAGUCUCUAUAGUUUUUCACUUUUCUAUCAUCAUUAUCAUCAGCAUGGCUGAUACUUGCUUUUUCCUUUUCUUUUUUUUUUAUGGAAGAUUUUUCAAACUUUUUUUCCUUUUUUACUCUCUUCAUGGGACAACGGGUUUACUGCAGUCUCUCUUUUUUUUGCGGGGCGACCCAUCUCCGGGCCUUCCAAUUCUUUUUGAUGGCAUUUUCUUGUGUAUUAAGAAACCGGGGAAAGGCUCGAGGAUAAGAAGGAGGUGAAGCAUUGCCGAGACUUGGCCCAGUUUCAAAGUCUCUGUAGCCUCUUUGAUGGUGAACAAGGCAUCCAAAUUCGCGUAGACUAUUCACGAAUGGCAAAAAGAGGGAGGGGACUCUCUCUCUCGUUAAGAAGGGGGGAGAAAAAAAAGUUGUCCGGAGAGAAGGGAAAAAAAGGGUGGGGGGGGGGGAGACUAAGAAGAAGAUCCGGUGAGAGCGGAUCCCACGGCCUUUGGCUCGUCUAGCAAUUUGGACAUUUUCUCUCGUUUGUGCCUUCAAUCUCUAUCUCUGUGUGUGUGUGUGUGUGUGUGUGUGUGGAACUUUAGGGACUGCAUGCGGCACUGCGUUGGCAAGUUAACUUUGCAUCGUUCCGCGUUCGGUGUCUUGCCGCCUCCUAUUGCAUCAAUGCGAUUUAUGUUUCUAUCCGUCUCACUAUCUCUCCGUUUGUCUACAGCCCACGGACAUGAAUACUGACUAUAUCUAUAUCCGUAUACUGGAUGUGUAUAUUUAUGUAUUUAUAUUCCGCAGGCUUCUUUGUGUGUGUAUGUUAAGACGCAUUUCAAAGUGUGGCCUGGAUCUUUGAAAAUGCAGCCAGAAAAGUUGUCCUAGUAUUUUAGCUGUUGGUGGUGGGUGGAAGACGAAAAAUCAAAAAAACGUGCUCAGCUUGCGGAAAAUGAAGAACAGACGUUAUAACUAAGAAAAAAAAGAAAUAGUAAAGUUUAAUACUCGAAUGUGUGUUAGCUUUUCAGCAUUGCUAAUCAAAAAUGCCUGUUCGCAUCCGCACAAGAAAUAUCAAACAGGGGGAAAGAGAGUGGAUUCGGAGAAGCUUUUAAAAAUGCAUGGAUUCUUAUUUAUUUAUUUUUAUUUUUUCUAAAAUAUAUUGCGGCAUUAUGAGUCUGCAUGCGCAAUUUUCGGAAUGGGAUAACAUUUUAGAUUCUUGGUAUAUUGCAACACGUAGCGCGUGGAUCGAUUUUAGUUCUUUGAAGGACUAUCGCAAUAUUUUCGGAAUUCUUUGCUGCAUUGGAUCGUCGCCAUCUGUUUAUAAGCAAAGUCUAAAUUAUUGGUUACAUAAGUAAGAAGAAGAAGAGCAACAAAAAACAAACGCGUUUGCGAUAGUGGGAGGGGAUAGUCGUUGACGGGUCUUAUUGGCAAACUGACCGGCAAUUUCCAAGCCAUUUCCUAUCGAUUCGGUGAUGUGUGUACGAGGCCAAUCGGCUCUUUUCUUCCCCCUCUUUUUCUUUUAGACAAGAAGCGCACAUCCUGGAUGACUUGCGUGAUCCGUUUCAGUGACUUAUACAUUCUGUUUCUACCUAUUUUUUUGUUUUGUUUUUGUUUUUCAUCGAAAGAUAAAAGAAAUGAAUUAGAUAACAGAAGGGACAAGUCAAACUGCCUCGAAAGCCAUUUUCCUUGUCUAGAUAUAUUUAAAGAUAUAUCCGUACGAUUCCGUUUGUACAGGAACGAAAUCAAUUCUCUCGUGUUCGUUGUGUGUGUGACACGGACGACAAUGCAAUAGCGAUCUCAGCAGAGUAUGUACAUUUCUUUUUAUUAUUAUUAUUAUUUUAUAGAAUAAAGCAAGACCGAUAAAAAAAAGAAGGGGAAAGACAUAAAUCAAUAGAUGGGACAGAAGAAUGUAAGCGCAAACCAAAAGGGAAAAGACGGGCCCAUACAUCUUUAUAUUGAUGUUUGCAGAUCGGGGCCGACUGUUCGUGUUCUAUCUCAAUGUCGUUGCAAUAUAUAUUGGAGACCGAAGACACUGGUUCUUAAGACACGCCAAUGGUAUUGUCCUCAUUAAGGAGACGUGGGUGCGGGAGAUGGCAGACGAGCCAAACUGAUUGGGUUUGUGUCUACAUCUCUUUCGUCUUUUAUUUAUCUUGUUCGCCAUUUCUUUGUCCAUCAAACGCAACAAAAUCCUGAGCAACACAUAUCUCUGUGUUGCUGCUAUCCCACUCUUCAUCAUCAUUUCGCAAUCUAGGACUGCCGUUGCGCCAGCGAAAUCAUCAAUGGGGUUAUACGAGCUCGUAUAUAAAGACGACAGUGAUGAAUUGUGUCUAUUUUUAGACGCCAGUUGUACGUAUUAUAAAAAGACUUUGGGUGUGAAUAUCCAUUUCAUCUAGACACUCCCCCUCCAACAGUUGGAUGGUCGCCGUGAUUGCCCUUCGUUCAUUCACAGCGCACCACUAGAGCGACCUUGAUUAUCAGCAAGAAAUUAGACACUAUAAACAUGAAAUGCAAUUUACUCCGUACAGCAGUAAAUUCUUAAUAAUUAGGACUUCGAGUUUAUAGGCAAAUGAAAAAAACAAAUGUGUAUUUCCGCGUUGGAAAGGAAGCUUGUUAAUUACCCCGCUGUUUGCUUAUAUUCGGAGAAUGUUGGUCUAAUAUAACAAAGUAGUACAUUUUCCUUUCAUAUAAACCGAAACUUGAUAGAAACAAGGUAGACAAUGGAUAUAUAUCUAGUGCAGAGUGUACGUACAAGAGCAAGGGAAACCCCCCAAAAAAAACAAUUGAUAUUAACUCGGUAAAAAUCUAAGUAGCUCCUUCAUUCAGAGCACGCGCGUUACACGGGCCGACGCUACGUGCUGUGGCCCUCUUUUUUCCUCCCCCCCAACAGAUCCGUAAGGACGACAAAGCGAAAAAACAAAUAAAGAGACGUGCUAGUUAGAUAUAUAUAUAUAAGCAAUCGGAAUUGGAGCGGAAUCGAUCGGCAGACACACGCUUAUUACGUCCUCUUCCUCAUAUUAUACUAGUCUCUUUUCUCCUGUUGAAACUUUCUGUCGUUAUUCGACUAGUAGAUAAGACCAAAGGCGCAAAACUAACUUUCUUUACACAAAACGCAUCCAAUAAAGAAGUGAACAAUAAAACAAAAUUCCUUCCCCCCCCCCCUUUCUUUUUUCUUCGUCUGUUGUGUGUGUUCUUGUAUAUAACUGGCCUUUUCUUAAUAUAUUCGCUGCAAAAGUCCUGUGUAUUAUAUAUAUAACUCGUAUAUAGUUACACACCAGUUGUUAUGGCUGUGUGUGUCUCUCUAAUCCGAUAGCGCAUAUAGUCCAAUUUCUCGUGUGUUCAAUCGGCUUAUUUCAUUCCGCCCAUCUGGACUAUUUAUUUAUUGUACAUAUAGGCUCGUAUAUACUUUAUAGACGAGCUCAUUUCAUUGCACAAGUUUUACGUGCUCAUUCGUUUCUGAUUGAGCCCCAACUUGAUUAUUAGGUCGCGAGGUCGAGACUGUGACACAGUACAUUCGAAAUCAAAGUAAAGGAGGGGUCCGAUAAAUUGAAUGAAAUCUCCGCCAAUUUUUUAAAAAGGUUUUCUUUGCGUGUGUAUCCAUUUCAUCUAUUUCCUUCUCACUUUUGCCUUAGACGUAUCUACACUAAAAGUUCUUUUCAUAUAGAGUCUGCCGUGCGAGUGGGAUGCUGAUGUUGACAGCCUCGUGAAAAGCCGGGAAAAUUGAAACCUAGAAGUGUGUACACAACGCCUUUGAAAGG
Molecule: long non-coding RNA, 8057 nt
Organism: Daphnia magna
Lineage: Eukaryota; Metazoa; Arthropoda; Branchiopoda; Diplostraca; Daphniidae
Exons: 9
Source: RefSeq, a predicted model, not a curated record